UACGUAGGGUGCGAGCGUUGUCCGGAAUUACUGGGCGUAAAGAGCUCGUAGGUGGUUUGUCGCGUUGUUCGUGAAAACCGGGGGCUUAACCCUCGGCGUGCGGGCGAUACGGGCAGACUUGAGUACUGCAGGGGAGACUGGAAUUCCUGGUGUAGCGGUGGAAUGCGCAGAUAUCAGGAGGAACACCGGUGGCGAAGGCGGGUCUCUGGGCAGUAACUGACGCUGAGGAGCGAAAGCCAGGGUAGCGAACGGG
This 253-nucleotide ribosomal RNA is filed under the name uncultured bacterium. Its description in RNAcentral is "partial 16S ribosomal RNA". It matches the Rfam family "Bacterial small subunit ribosomal RNA", at positions 524 to 776 of the family's 1533-position model. The record is from RNAcentral.